Molecule: transfer RNA, 74 nt
Filed under: Phrynosoma platyrhinos (Desert horned lizard)
Lineage: Eukaryota; Metazoa; Chordata; Lepidosauria; Squamata; Phrynosomatidae
Description: tRNA-OTHER
Source: RNAcentral
GCCAGUGUGGUUUAGUGGUUUUGAGUGUUGGACUAGGGCAUUGGGAGAUCAGGGUUCGAAUCCCUGCUCAGCCG